CCUACGGGUGGCAGCAGUGAGGAAUAUUGGUCAAUGGGCGAGAGCCUGAACCAGCCAAGUCGCGUGAAGGAUGACGGCCCUACGGGUUGUAAACUUCUUUUGUCAGGGAGCAAUUGAGUCCACGUGUGGUCUUAGCGAGAGUACCUGAAGAAAAAGCAUCGGCUAACUCCGGGCCAGCAGCCGCGGUAAUACGGAGGAUGCGAGCGUUAUCCGGAUUUAUUGGGUUUAAAGGGUGCGGAGGCGGAAUAUUAAGUCAGCGGUAAAAAUUCGGGGCUCAACCCCGUCGUGCCGUUGAAACUGAUGUUCUUAGGUGGGCGAGAAGUAAGCGGAAUGCGUGGGGUAGCGGUGAAAUGCA
This 355-nucleotide ribosomal RNA is filed under the name uncultured bacterium. RNAcentral's name for it is "partial 16S ribosomal RNA". It matches the Rfam family "Bacterial small subunit ribosomal RNA", at positions 338 to 690 of the family's 1533-position model. The record is from RNAcentral.